AAGUCGUAACAAGGUUUCCGUAGGUGAACCUGCGGAAGGAUCAUUAUCACGUAUCCACGUAUCAACCAAUGUGAACUAGUUUUAUUGACCUUUGGAUUGGGCAAGGUAGCGUUGUAUGAAACCGUUAUUCAAACAACAAAUUUGAUUGGAAAGUUGUUGAGGUUUCGUACAAUCAAACAAGUUUUAAUUUAAUUUGUUUACUUGUCUGAUUCAGAGUGUAUUUCUUUUUUCCAAUCUAUUACUUAUUAACCAUUUAAACCCAAAAUUUCUAUAAAUUUUGAACUGAUUUAAUUUCUUACUCUUUUCUUUCUAAAGAGAGAGAGAGAAGAAAUAAAUGAUUACGAAACAUAAGAACAACUCUUAGCAACGGAUAUCUUGGUUCUC
RNAcentral lists this unclassified non-coding RNA (384 nucleotides) under fungal sp. RNAcentral describes it as "partial internal transcribed spacer region". The stretch from base 1 to 46 matches the Rfam family "Eukaryotic small subunit ribosomal RNA", at positions 1786 to 1831 of the family's 1831-position model. Lineage: Eukaryota; Fungi. The record is from RNAcentral.